GGAGAUUUAGCUAAGUGGCAUAAGCACCUGCCUUGGAAGCAGACAGUCGGGAGUUCAAUCCCCG
Molecule: transfer RNA, 64 nt
Filed under: Cavia porcellus (domestic guinea pig)
Lineage: Eukaryota; Metazoa; Chordata; Mammalia; Rodentia; Caviidae
Rfam family: tRNA
About the family: Transfer RNA (tRNA) molecules are approximately 80 nucleotides in length. Their secondary structure includes four short double-helical elements and three loops (D, anti-codon, and T loops).
Source: Rfam by way of RNAcentral